Long non-coding RNA from Orcinus orca (killer whale), 627 nucleotides. RefSeq lists it as uncharacterized. The transcript is spliced from 5 exons. The record is from RefSeq and is a predicted model, not a curated record. NCBI's taxonomy places the organism in Eukaryota, Metazoa, Chordata, Mammalia, Artiodactyla, Delphinidae.
AGAUGACAAAAGCAAGCGAGACCACUGUUAAGGAAAGCAGCCAUUGCUGGAACCAGAUACAAUGCUGAACUUGGUCUUCAAGCUUCCUAUUGCUUUCUAGUAAACGAUUGAGCUAAAGAGGGGAGAAAAGGAUGAAAGUUUGGCAACCUACCCUGGGAGCUGCUGAGAUACCAUACUCACUUGGGAGCCUGCAGAUGGGAUUCUGGAAAACGGGCAGAAGCCCGAGAAGGGACACAAUUGGAAAUAUGGUUGUAUUAUCAAGCUUUUGACUUGAAUGUCAUAUUUGAAAAUGAAAUGCAUGAAGUCGGAUAUGACCAGAUGGCUUUAAGGAACUAAAGACCCUUGGAAACAACUGACCUGGUACCUUGCUUACAGGGUUCCAGACAGCCUUACUAGGAAGCCACCCUUUCUAGAUGGGAGGCAGUGCUUUCACCUGGGCCUUCAGUACCAAACCACCAAGUCCCCCUGUUUCUGUGAGGUGAGAAAACAGAUGCCCAGAGUGUGGCGAGGUGACUUGCUGAUACCCUGCUAAUUUCUAGAUUCCAGUCCAGCUUUGCUGAGUCAUCACCCAGCCCCAGGCCUCCCAUAACACCCCACUGUGGCCAGCCAGGUGACAACUCACCCCCG